This 2808-nucleotide ribosomal RNA is filed under the name Triticum aestivum (bread wheat). RNAcentral's name for it is "partial small subunit ribosomal RNA". The record is from RNAcentral. Lineage: Eukaryota; Viridiplantae; Streptophyta; Magnoliopsida; Poales; Poaceae.
AUGGAGUCGGCUCUCGUCAGCGUGGCGACCGGGGUCCUGAAACCGGUCCUCGAGAAGCUGGCCUCUCUGCUAGGCAACGAGUACAAGCGUUUCAAGGGAGUGCGCAAGGAGAUCAAGUCUCUCACUCAUGAGCUCGCCGCCAUGGAGGCUUUUCUCCUCAAGAUGUCCGAGGUGGAGGAUCCCGAUGCGCAGGAUAAAGUCUGGAUGAAUGAGGUGCGGGAGCUGUCCUACGACAUGGAGGAUGCCAUCGACGACUUCAUGCAAAGCGUCGGUGACAAAGAUGAAAAGCCAGAUGGCUUCAUUGAGAAGAUCAAGAACUCCCUAGGGAAGUUGGGGAAAAUGAAGGCCCGUCGUCAAAUUGCAAAUGAGAUCCAAGAGCUGAAGAAACUUACCAUUGAGGUGGGCAAGAGGAAUGAAAGGUACAAGACUCGUGAGGCCUUCUCCAACACCAACAAUACAACUUUUGACCCUAGAGCUCUUGCUAUAUUUGAGCAAGCCUCAAAACUUGUCGGAAUUGAUCAACCCAAGGCUGAGAUAAUGAAAUUACUCAAUGAAGAGGAUGGAAAUUUGUCGGCAAAACAACAACUGAAGUUGGUCUCCGUUGUUGGAUGUGGAGGAUCGGGCAAGACAACUCUUGCAAACCAAGUCUAUCAAGGGCUCAAAGAGGAAUUUGAGUGUAAGGCUUUCGUAUCAGUGUCGCGAAACCCAGACCUGAAAAAUAUCUUGAGAACCAUUCUCAGUGAAGUCAACGGUCAAGGUUAUGCUAGCACAAAAGCAGGAAGUAUACAACAACUCAUCAGCAAGAUCACCGAUGUUCUAGCACACAAAAGGUAUUUUGUUGUUGUUGACGAUAUAUGGGAUGUGGAUGCAUGGGAUGUUAUUAAGUGUGCAUUCCCCAUAACAUGUUCUGGCAGUAUAAUAAUCACCACUACUCGUAUAAAUGAUGUCGCAGAUUUAUGUCGGUCAUCAUGUAGUGGUUGUAUCUAUAAUAUGAGGCCACUUGAUGUGGUGCAUUCAAGGCAACUAUUUCACAAAAGAUUGUUCGAUUCCAAUGAAGAUUGCCCUUCAAACCUUCAAAAAGUUUUUGAUGAAAUUUUGAAGAAAUGCGGUGGCUUACCUUUGGUGAUCAUUGCCAUUUCUGGUUUGUUGUCUACCAUGGAAAUAACAGAACAUAUGUGGAAUCAGGUGAAUGAUUCAAUUGGUCGUGCACUUGAGAGGAAUCCUAGCGUGGAAGCAAUGAUAAAGAUAUUGUCACUUAGCUACUUUGAUCUUCCUCCCCAUCUGAAAACGUGUCUCUUGUAUUUGAGUAUAUUUCCAGAAGAUUCUGUUAUUGAGAAGAGAGCCUUAAUAUGGAGAUGGAUUGCUGAGGGAUUCAUUCAUAAAGAUGGCAGAUACACGGCGUACGAGUUAGGAGAAAGGUGUUUUAAUGAGCUCCUCAAUAGGAGUUUGAUCCAAGUUGCAUGGACAAAUGAAUAUGGUAAGGUGGAGAGUUGUCGAGUUCAUGACAUAAUUCUUGAUUUCAUCAUAUCGAAGUCCAUUGAAGAGAACUUUGUCACUUUAAUUGGUGUUCCGUAUAUAGUUGGCGGGACGCAAAGCAAAGUUCGUCGUCUCUCUCUCCAAGUUGAUGAUGAAGGAAAUUCUAUAAGAAAGACUGGCAUGGUAUUGUCUCAUGUCCGAUCACUCAAUGUGUUUGGGCAUUCGUUGGAAAUCCCUUCUCUCAAUGAGUUUGGGCACUUGCGUGUUUUGGAUGUUGAGCUUUGCCACCAAGUGGAAAACCACCAUAUUACAAAUAUUGGGAGAUUGUUUCAGUUAAGGCGCCUGAACCUGAGAUGGACAGAAGUAAGUGAGCUCCCAGAAGAAAUCGGCCAUCUACGUUGCUUAGAGAUGCUGGACAUAAGAGGUACCCUGGUACAAGAAUUACCAUCAACUAUUGUGAAUCUUGGAAGAUUGGUGGAUAUGCUUCAUGACAGUAGUGUUAAGUUCCCAAAUGGAAUUGAAAAGAUGCAAGCAUUGGAGAUAUUGGAAGAGGUCAAUGUCUAUAGGCAGCCAUUUAACUUCCCGCAAGAACUUGGACAGCUACAGAACCUGAGGAAGCUGGCCCUCAAUUUUGAAGGUGAUUCCAUAUAUGUACAUAGAGUUAAACAGGGAAAGAAAGAGUGCACUAAUAAAGCUAUUGCUUCUGCUCUGGGCAAUCUAGGCACUCAGAACAUCCGUUCUCUAAGUACUAUUUGUGGGGGGCGCUUCUUACGACAGGGACCAUUGUGCCCUGUUCCUCUUAGCCUCCAGGAAUUCAUCAUGACCAAGGGCUCACAUGUGGAGCAGGUUCCGGAAUGGGUGAGUUCCCUUGUAAACCUCCAGCUGUUGCGCCUACAGGUGAAGAAAUUCACGCAGAAAGAUUUGCGGGUCCUUGGUAACUUACCGGCCUUGCUCAUUCUUGAGGUGACCGGACUGGGGAAGUACAGCCGUACAACCUUCACAGUGAGCCAAAAAGUUGGGUUCCAAUGCUUGAGAAAGUUCUCUUUGGAAUCAUGUAAAUGGAUGGUGUUUGAAGCAGGAUCCAUGCCUAAGCUAGAAAAACUCGAAAUUGGAAUUUGUUUCUACAGCUCAUCCGAUUCUAGCAUUGCUAGUGGUAGUGGUGGAAGUGCUUUCGAUUUCGGAAUGGAAAACAUCCCAUCCCUUAUUACUCUCAAAUUUGCAAUAUAUGGCUGGCAUGAUAGCACUCUGGCGGCUGCACAGGCUGCUAUGGAGAGAGCUGCCGGUAAACAUCCCAACCGCCCUACUCUAAUCUUUCAGAAAAUCAGCAGCUAG